This 582-nucleotide long non-coding RNA is filed under the name Brassica rapa (field mustard). Its description in RNAcentral is "long non-coding RNA (BRAP_LNC005140)". The record is from RNAcentral. Lineage: Eukaryota; Viridiplantae; Streptophyta; Magnoliopsida; Brassicales; Brassicaceae.
GAAUAAUAUAUAUAAAUAUAGUAAUUACGAGAAUUUAAAUGCGUAAUUUAAAUGCAGAAAUUAAAGGCAUAAAAUAAAAGCAUAAACUUAAAUUGCAGAAAUUUAAAUUGCAGAAAUUUAAAUUGCAGGAAUUUAAAUAGCAUAAAUAAAAUCGGGAGGCUCAGCCUACCACAUGAUCCGAGGAGUCAUAGACUACCAUAUUGAUCAUUUUUCAAAGUCCGAGGAUAGAUGGUCUACCAUUUUGACUUUAUUUAUUUUAAGGUCCGAGGAGACUUAGUCUACCAUUUUUGACCUUUUUAUUCACGGAGGCAAAGCCUACCACGUGUUUCUCUGAUCGUGAAGGCAUAGCCUACCAUAACGAUCAGUCGGGAAAGGCAGCGCCUAUCAUCCCGAAUGGAGAAGGUCCAGCCUCUCACUCCGAAACAAUAAUAAAAUUUAAAUAAAUUAAGUGUAUUGAAAUACAUAAAUUUAAACAUUACCUCGGCUGGUUUAAGAACUUUUGGAUUGAUAAACUUCAGUUGGUCAGAGCUUCGUGCUGAUAACGUGUUGUGUAUUACUAAAUAGAAGUGAGAAACUAAAGAU